RNAcentral lists this small nuclear RNA (299 nucleotides) under Mus pahari (shrew mouse). RNAcentral describes it as "sRNA (MGP_PahariEiJ_G0008045.1)". It matches the Rfam family "7SK RNA". Rfam says of the family: 7SK was discovered as an abundant small nuclear RNA in the mid-70s but a possible function has only recently been suggested. Two independent studies have found that 7SK RNA binds the CDK9/cyclin T complex (known as elongation factor P-TEFb). The record is from RNAcentral. Lineage: Eukaryota; Metazoa; Chordata; Mammalia; Rodentia; Muridae.
GGCUGAGAAAUAUCUGUCUUGACAUUGGUCAUCUACUCUUCACAGAGGUAGUUUGGCUGAUCUUGUUGGCUAGGCUGGUGUCCCCUUCCUUCUCCACAUUUCAUCUAUACCCAUCUAGAAGCAAUGUGUGCAAAGUUGAAAAGGACCUCCAACGGCCAAAAUAGGACAGGUCUGCACUUGAUGUAGAGGAGUAUCUCUAUACCCCUGCUAGUACUUCCAGACAAGCUCUCAAGGUUGAACUUUACAAUGGAAGAAACUCUGUUUUAGUUCCUUGUCUUGUGAUUUUUCUACACAACCAA